UACAGAGGUCUCAAGCGUUGUUCGGAUUCAUUGGGCGUAAAGGGCGCGUAGGCGGCGCGAGUAGUCAACGGUGAAAGCCCGGGGCUCAACCCCGGGUCGGCCGUCGAUACUCUCGUGCUUGAGCACUGUAGAGGCAGGUGGAAUUCCGGGUGUAGCGGUGGAAUGCGUAGAGAUCCGGAAGAACACCGGUGGCGAAGGCGGCCUGCUGGGCAGUAGCUGACGCUGAGGCGCGACAGCGUGGGGAGCAAACAGG
This 253-nucleotide ribosomal RNA is filed under the name uncultured bacterium. RNAcentral describes it as "partial 16S ribosomal RNA". It matches the Rfam family "Bacterial small subunit ribosomal RNA", at positions 524 to 776 of the family's 1533-position model. The record is from RNAcentral.